UACGGAGGGUGCGAGCGUUGUCCGGAAUCACUGGGCGUAAAGGGCGCGUAGGUGGCCCGUUAAGUGGCUGGUGAAAUCCCGCGGCUCAACUGCGGGGCUGCCGGUCAUACUGGCGAGCUAGAGCACGGUAGGGGCAGAUGGAAUUCCCGGUGUAGCGGUGGAAUGCGUAGAGAUCGGGAGGAACACCAGUGGCGCAGGCGGCGUCCUGGACCGGCACUGACGCUGAGGAGCGAAAGCGUGGGGAGCGAUCCGG
This 253-nucleotide ribosomal RNA is filed under the name uncultured bacterium. Its description in RNAcentral is "partial 16S ribosomal RNA". It matches the Rfam family "Bacterial small subunit ribosomal RNA", at positions 524 to 776 of the family's 1533-position model. The record is from RNAcentral.